GCCCCUGUGACGUAAUUGGAAAACGUGGCAAGCUCAAACCUUGCAUUUACAGGUUCAAAUCCUGUCAGGGGUA
This 73-nucleotide transfer RNA is filed under the name Candidatus Altimarinota bacterium. RNAcentral describes it as "tRNA-Leu". It matches the Rfam family "tRNA". Rfam says of the family: Transfer RNA (tRNA) molecules are approximately 80 nucleotides in length. Their secondary structure includes four short double-helical elements and three loops (D, anti-codon, and T loops). The record is from RNAcentral. RNAcentral also lists the same sequence under 3 other names. Lineage: Bacteria; Candidatus Altimarinota.